AAGAAUGUCGACUUGGGAGGUUGUGCCCUUGAGGCGUGGCUUCCGGAGCUAACGCGUUAAGUCGACCGCCUGGGGAGUACGGCCGCAAGGUUAAAACUCAAAUGAAUUGACGGGGGCCCGCACAAGCGGUGGAGCAUGUGGUUUAAUUCGAUGCAACGCGAAGAACCUUACCUGGUCUUGACAUCCACAGAACUUUCCAGAGAUGGAUUGGUGCCUUCGGGAACUGUGAGACAGGUGCUGCAUGGCUGUCGUCAGCUCGUGUUGUGAAAUGUUGGGUUAAGUCCCGCAACGAGCGCAACCCUUAUCCUUUGUUGCCAGCGGUCCGGCCGGGAACUCAAAGGAGACUGCCAGUGAUAAACUGGAGGAAGGUGGGGAUGACGUCAAGUCAUCAUGGCCCUUACGACCAGGGCUACACACGUGCUACAAUGGCGCAUACAAAGAGAAGCGACCUCGCGAGAGCAAGCGGACCUCAUAAAGUGCGUCGUAGUCCGGAUUGGAGUCUGCAACUCGACUCCAUGAAGUCGGAAUCGCUAGUAAUCGUGGAUCAGAAUGCCACGGUGAAUACGUUCCCGGGCCUUGUACACACCGCCCGUCACACCAUGGGAGUGGGUUGCAAAAGAAGUAGGUAGCUUAACCUUCGGGAGGGCGCUUACCACUUUGUGAUUCAUGACUGGGGUGAAGUCGAAAGGGGAAACCCCGAAAAAAG
RNAcentral lists this ribosomal RNA (706 nucleotides) under Escherichia coli. Its description in RNAcentral is "bacterial SSU rRNA". It matches the Rfam family "Bacterial small subunit ribosomal RNA", at positions 805 to 1511 of the family's 1533-position model. The record is from RNAcentral. Lineage: Bacteria; Pseudomonadati; Pseudomonadota; Gammaproteobacteria; Enterobacterales; Enterobacteriaceae.